UGUGGUAGCAUAAUCACUAGGUUUUUAAUUUGAAUUUUGUAUGAAUGAUUUAUCAAGAGAAAAACCGUCUUUAUACUAAAGGUUGAUUUAUAUUUUUAUGUGAAAAGGCUUAUAAUAUUCUAAAGGGUCGAUAAGACCCUAUAUUUAUUUUCCAUUAGUUGUUAAUAUUUUAUUUAAUUUGUCUGUAUUACGAUUCAAAUAUAAUUUUUUGUUAUGUUGGGGAGACAAAAUGAUAUAAUUUAUAUUUACACUGCUUGAAGAGAAAUCAAUAAUUUAGUCGUUCGAUUGUUAUAGAUCCUCCUUUACAAUUAAAAGAUUAAUUCAAACUAGGAUAUAACAGCAGUUUUUCUCUUGAUAGUUCAUA
RNAcentral lists this ribosomal RNA (364 nucleotides) under Potamonautidae sp. Crab_21c_Kiambu. RNAcentral's name for it is "partial 16S ribosomal RNA". The record is from RNAcentral. Lineage: Eukaryota; Metazoa; Arthropoda; Malacostraca; Decapoda; Potamonautidae.